ACUCUAAGCAGUCGAUCACUCGGCUCACAGGUCGAUAAAGAACGCAGCCAGCUGCGAGAUUUGGUGUGAAUUGCAAGACACAUAAACACUGAUUCAUUG
Non-coding RNA from Araneus ventricosus, 99 nucleotides. The record is from the annotation of a GenBank genome assembly. NCBI's taxonomy places the organism in Eukaryota, Metazoa, Arthropoda, Arachnida, Araneae, Araneidae.